This 118-nucleotide ribosomal RNA is filed under the name Funneliformis caledonium. RNAcentral describes it as "partial large subunit ribosomal RNA". The record is from RNAcentral. Lineage: Eukaryota; Fungi; Glomeromycota; Glomeromycetes; Glomerales; Glomeraceae.
AGAACUUUGAAAAGAGAGUUAAACAGUACGUGAAAUUGUUGAAAGGGAAACGAUUGAAGUCAGUCAUACCAACGGGAAAUCAACCUCUUGAGUUUGGUCUUGUGGGUUCCAAAAAGUU